AGUUUGAUCCUGGCUCAGGAUGAACGCUGGCGGCGUGCUUAACACAUGCAAGUCGAACGGGGCACCCCCAAAGGAGUUUUCGGACAACUGCGGGGAAUGCCUAGUGGCGGACGGGUGAGUAACGCGUGAGCAACCUGCCUUGGAGUGGGGAAUAACAGAUGGAAACAUCUGCUAAUACCGCAUGAUGCAGUUGGGCCACAUGGCUCUGACUGCCAAAGAUUUAUCGCUCUGAGAUGGGCUCGCGUCUGAUUAGCUAGUUGGCGGGGCAACGGCCCACCAAGGCGACGAUCAGUAGCCGGACUGAGAGGUUGGCCGGCCACAUUGGGACUGAGACACGGCCCAGACUCCUACGGGAGGCAGCAGUGGGGAAUAUUGGGCAAUGGGCGCAAGCCUGACCCAGCAACGCCGCGUGAAGGAAGAAGGCUUUCGGGUUGUAAACUUCUUUUCUCAGGGACGAACAGAUGACGGUACCUGAGGAAUAAGCCACGGCUAACUACGUGCCAGCAGCCGCGGUAAUACGUAGGUGGCAAGCGUUAUCCGGAUUUACUGGGUGUAAAGGGCGUGUAGGCGGGGACGCAAGUCAGAUGUGAAAACCACGGGCUCAACCUGUGGCCUGCAUUUGAAACUGUGUUUCUUGAGUACUGGAGAGGCAGACGGAAUUCCUAGUGUAGCGGUGAAAUGCGUAGAUAUUAGGAGGAACACCAGUGGCGAAGGCGGUCUGCUGGACAGCAACUGACGCUGAGGCGCGAAAGCGUGGGGAGCAAACAAGGGUAGAUACCCUGGUAGUCCACGCUGUAAACGACCAUAAUGGGUGGGGGGGACUGACCCCCUCCGUGCCGCAGUUAACACAAUAAGUAUCCCGCGGGGGGAGUACGAUGGCGAGGUGGAAACUCAAAGGAGUUGACGGGGGCCCGCACAAGCGGUGGAGUAUGUGGUUUAAUUAGAAGCAACGCGAAGAACCUUACCAGGGCGUGGCAUCCCGAGGCCCGGUGUAGAGAUACACCUUUAUCUUCGGAGACCUCGGUGACAGGUGGUGCAUGGUUGUCGUCAGCUCGUGUCGUGAGAGGUUGGGUUAAGUCCCGCAACGAGCGCAACCCUUAUUGUUAGUUGGUAGGCAAGAGCACUCUAGCGAGACUGCCGUUGACAAAACGGAGGAAGGUGGGGACGACGUCAAAUCAUCAUGCCCCUUAUGUCCUGGGCCACACACGUACUACAAUGGUGGUUAACAGAGGGAAGCAAUACUGUGAAGUGGAGCAAAUCCCUAAAAGCCAUCCCAGUUCGGAUCGCAGGCUGCAACCCGCCUGCAUGAAGUUGGAAUCGCUAGUAAUCGCGGAUCAGCAUGCCGCGGUGAAUACGUUCCGGGGCCUUGCACACACCGCCCGUCA
This 1385-nucleotide ribosomal RNA is filed under the name synthetic construct. RNAcentral describes it as "bacterial SSU rRNA". It matches the Rfam family "Bacterial small subunit ribosomal RNA". The record is from RNAcentral. RNAcentral also lists the same sequence under 1 other name.